RNAcentral lists this unclassified non-coding RNA (308 nucleotides) under Helicoverpa zea (corn earworm). RNAcentral describes it as "uncharacterized LOC124636169, transcript variant X1". The record is from RNAcentral. Lineage: Eukaryota; Metazoa; Arthropoda; Insecta; Lepidoptera; Noctuidae.
GUAGGCACUUUUAUCGGUUUACAAAGCUUAGCACAAAGCUGCAUUGCUUGGUGACCUUCAAGGGCCCUAUAUAAUGCCUCUGCCUUCCUCAGGACGAUAUAGUUUGCAUUGAGAAGGCUCAGCAGCAGUUCUCCACAAUCAAUCAAUAUGAAGUACUUCCUGGUUUUCCUGAUCGUCUGCGUGGCUCUGGCCGCUGCUUCUCCCCAGCUCAUCGCUGCUUGGCCAGGCUGGCCAGGAUAUGCUGGCGUCGUGCCCGCUACUAGGACCCUGGUAGCUGGUCCCACAGUGGUGAACCAUGGCGCUCGCAU